CAGCAGCCGCGGGAAUACGUAGGGUGCAAGCGUUGUCCGGAAUUAUUGGGCGUAAAGAGCUCGUAGGCGGUUCGUCGCGUCUGCUGUGAAAACCCGAGGCUCAGCCUCGGGCUUGCAGUGGGUACGGGCGGACUAGAGUGCGGUAGGGGAGAUUGGAAUUCCUGGUGUAGCGGUGGAAUGCGCAGAUAUCAGGAGGAACACCGAUGGCGAAGGCAGAUCUCUGGGCCGUAACUGACGCUGAGGGGCGAAAGCAUGGGGAGCGAACAGGAUUAGAUACCCGCGUAGUCCUUGUCUCUUAUAC
This 301-nucleotide ribosomal RNA is filed under the name uncultured bacterium. RNAcentral's name for it is "partial 16S ribosomal RNA". It matches the Rfam family "Bacterial small subunit ribosomal RNA", at positions 509 to 807 of the family's 1533-position model. The record is from RNAcentral.